CUCAGUGCUCGCGUCUCUACCUGAACCUUGGCACAAAG
Molecule: small nucleolar RNA, 38 nt
Filed under: Drosophila melanogaster (fruit fly)
Lineage: Eukaryota; Metazoa; Arthropoda; Insecta; Diptera; Drosophilidae
Description: partial small nucleolar RNA snoR75
Source: RNAcentral